AGGUACCACUCCGUCUCGAAGGAUCGUUCUAUAGAGAGUGGAUGGCGGCGCUCGAUGCGGCCGGCGCGGCUUCGAUGUGGGUGGCCAGCGUAUGAAUCCAGGCGAGGCACCAGUGGAUCCAGGCUAUAAGUGCCGGGCGCGAGGGUAUCCAGUACCACUGGAUCGAGAGGAUCCAGCAGCAAUCGAUCGAGGGUAUCCAAUGGGGGAUGCGGGUCGCGAGUCGAUCUAUAGAACCUAGCAUUUGGGGCGGUCCAUUCAACCGGUGGGCGCGGGACGAGGGCGAUAAUGGAGGUCGCUGGCUGCGCCUCGCGGCUAAGAUCGAUCGCGGACGGGGGCGGAUGGAGGUCGUUGUGGCGGCUGUAUGCAGACCACGGUGCGAUGCUGAAGGAUCAGGCGGGUCCUCGUGAUGGGUCCCUGCGCCACGCCAGGGUCUUCGCCGUCGCUGGUGGUGGGCUGGUGGCAGGGUAGUCGUCAGUCGCCAGGGCAGGGAAGUACCUCUUCGUGAUGCAGCGCAGCCUCUACCUGGUUGCCUAAUUCUCCAUCUUGCUUUUUUCAUGACUAGUUUCUAUGUUUCCUGAUAGCCAGGCAGUCGAAGCCCUAGCACGCACUCCAGCAGCACGGCGCAGGCCUCCUGCACCACCUCGCCGUUCAUUGUUAUGGAAGCGCAAUGCUUUGAGCUUCUCUUAGCGGCUUGGAGGUGGAGCAAGGAGGACGGGAAGGUUGUACUGUCAUGCUCGAUCUUACAUCUUGUAUCGACAGUGGUGGCCAGUAGUGGGAGCCUACUGAAAUCAACUUAUAUGGUACAAUGUGUUGGCUCAAGAGCUGCCGGAGUUGUUCGCUUCUUAAUAUUUGGACAGUUGAAUUCAGAAAUAUAUGAGACAUGCAUUUGAAUUAAGAGAUGGAGAAUCUGAUUAUACCUUGCAAAAGGUGCUCCGGUAGGGGAAACUGCUACUUUUGACAAUAAAACAGAUGCCAUCAUAUCAGUGUAUUGUUAGCCAGAAAUUUCUCGAGCUUAUAAUUUCUGGACAUUUAAGUAUUCAAUUUGUGUAAAUGGUGCUAGAUUCAGAGCUUAGAGUGGUAAGUGUAUUAUUACCCUGCAUUUUUGCUUGGUCAUAUAGGUUAUAGAAGUAUCAGAUUCGACUAUAAAGUUGUGCACAGUUCACUUAUAACAUAUAUUUUACUGUCCUUAAUGACCAGGCAAAUAACAUAAAUGUUAUUGGGCUGCAGGCAUCCUCCUUCUGCUGCAAUGAUGCAUAGUGCAUUAUGAUUUCAUAAUAUUCCUUUUACACUGAUCCCCUGAAGUUAAACAUGAAAGCAGGCAUGAAGUAUUAUUAUGAAAGUACUACAAAAGAAGCAUUUUUAGGUGGUUUAGAAACUUUUGUCAGAAGUUUCCUAUGUGGUGUUCAAGUUAUAAAGUAAAAUCAAUACCUUUC
Molecule: long non-coding RNA, 1433 nt
Organism: Triticum aestivum (bread wheat)
Lineage: Eukaryota; Viridiplantae; Streptophyta; Magnoliopsida; Poales; Poaceae
Exons: 2
Source: RefSeq, a predicted model, not a curated record